RNAcentral lists this ribosomal RNA (305 nucleotides) under uncultured bacterium. RNAcentral's name for it is "bacterial SSU rRNA". It matches the Rfam family "Bacterial small subunit ribosomal RNA", at positions 335 to 633 of the family's 1533-position model. The record is from RNAcentral.
UACCUACGGGACGCAGCAGUAGGGAAUUUUCGUCAAUGGGCGCAAGCCUGAACGAGCAAUGCCGCGUGAACGAGGAAGGUCUUCGGAUCGUAAAGUUCUGUUGAAGGGGAAAAAGAGCGGAGAGAGGAAAUGCUUUCUGAUUGAUAUUACCCUUCGAGGAAGUCACGGCUAACUACGUGCCAGCAGCCGCGGUAAUACGUAUGGAGCAAGCGUUAUCCGGAUUUACUGGGUAUAAAGGGAGCGUAGGCGGCUCUGUAAGUCUGAUGUGAAAAUUUGGGGCUCAACCCCAAACGUGCAUUGGAAAA